RNAcentral lists this ribosomal RNA (429 nucleotides) under uncultured bacterium. Its description in RNAcentral is "bacterial SSU rRNA". It matches the Rfam family "Bacterial small subunit ribosomal RNA", at positions 29 to 506 of the family's 1533-position model. The record is from RNAcentral.
ACGAACGCUGGCGGCAGGCUUAACACAUGCAAGUCGAACGCACCGCAAGGUGAGUGGCAGACGGGUGAGUAACGCGUGGGAACCUACCCAAUUCUACGGAACAACACAGGGAAACUUGUGCUAAUACCGUAUACGCCCUACGGGGGAAAGAUUUAUCGGAAUUGGAUGGGCCCGCGUUGGAUUAGCUAGUUGGUGGGGUAAUGGCCUACCAAGGCGACGAUCCAUAGCUGGUCUGAGAGGAUGAUCAGCCACACUGGGACUGAGACACGGCCCAGACUCCUACGGGAGGCAGCAGUGGGGAAUAUUGGACAAUGGGCGAAAGCCUGAUCCAGCUAUGCCGCGUGAGUGAUGAAGGCCUUAGGGUUGUAAAGCUCUUUCAGUGGGGACGAUAAUGACGGUACCCACAGAAGAAGCCCCGGCUAACUUCGU